AUUGAACGCUGGCGGCAUGCCUUACACAUGCAAGUCGAACGGCAGCACGGGUGAUUGCACCUGGUGGCGAGUGGCGAACGGGUGAGUAAUACAUCGGAACAUGUCCUGUAGUGGGGGAUAGCCCGGCGAAAGCCGGAUUAAUACCGCAUACGAUCUACGGAUGAAAGCGGGGGACCUUCGGGCCUCGCGCUAUCGGGUUGGCCGAUGGCUGAUUAGCUAGUUGGUGGGGUAAAGGCCUACCAAGGCGACGAUCAGUAGCUGGUCUGAGAGGACGACCAGCCACACUGGGACUGAGACACGGCCCAGACUCCUACGGGAGGCAGCAGUGGGGAAUUUUGGACAAUGGGCGAAAGCCUGAUCCAGCAAUGCCGCGUGUGUGAAGAAGGCCUUCGGGUUGUAAAGCACUUUUGUCCGGAAAGAAAUCCUUGGCCCUAAUACGGUCGGGGGAUGACGGUACCGGAAGAAUAAGCACCGGCUAACUACGUG
Molecule: ribosomal RNA, 486 nt
Filed under: uncultured bacterium
Lineage: Bacteria
Description: partial 16S ribosomal RNA
Rfam family: Bacterial small subunit ribosomal RNA
Source: RNAcentral